Molecule: non-coding RNA, 72 nt
Organism: Ictidomys tridecemlineatus (thirteen-lined ground squirrel)
Lineage: Eukaryota; Metazoa; Chordata; Mammalia; Rodentia; Sciuridae
Source: Rfam
CGAGUUGUAGCUCAGUGGUAGAGUGCUCGCCUUGCAUGUGGAGGGCACUGGGUUCGAUCCUCAGCACCACAC